RNAcentral lists this long non-coding RNA (983 nucleotides) under Coturnix japonica (Japanese quail). Its description in RNAcentral is "lncRNA (ENSCJPG00005001929.1)". The record is from RNAcentral. Lineage: Eukaryota; Metazoa; Chordata; Aves; Galliformes; Phasianidae.
CAAUAUGUGGGGACUGUAGUUACCCACACUUCCCCACCCCAAUUGUGGCCUCCCCCCCCAUGUGUCCCAUAGGUCCUGCUGCUACGACGGCCACGUCGUCAGGGGCUUCCCCCACUCCUGGGCCCAUCUAUGUGCCUGCAAUGGCCUCAGUGGUCACCUCCAGCUGACACAGGACAGGACUUAUGGGCUGGAGCCGGAUCCCAGUGGCCCCCCCGGGCAGCACGUCGCCCACCGGCUGCGGGACUGUGGGCUGAGACCCCCCCAGGGACCCCCGGAUGACGUGGGGACGGAGCUGCCAUGGCUGCAUAGGGUGGGUGGUACCGGGGUCCCCCCAUUGCCCCUGUGGGGUCCCAUUGCCCACUGGGUCCCAUUGUCAUAUUGGGGUCCAAUCCCCCCACUGGGUCCCAUUGCCCCACUGGGUCCCAUUGCCAUAUUGAGUCCCAUUGUCAUAUUGGGGUCCCAUUGUCAUAUUGGGGUCCCACUGCCCCACUGGGUCCCAUUGCCCCACUGGGUCCCAUUGCCAUAUUGAGUCCCAUUGCCAUAUUGGGGUCCCACUGCCAUAUUGGGGUCCCAUCACUCCACUGGGUCCCAUUGCCAUAUUGGGGUCCCAUUGCCAUAUUGGGGUCCCAUCACCCCACUGGGUCCCAUUGCCCCACUGGGUCCCAUUGCCAUAUUGGGGUCCCAUUGCCACCCUGGGGUCCCAUUGCCAUAUUGGGGUCCAAUCCCCCCACUGGGUCCCAUUGCCAUAUUGGGGUCCCAUUGCCCCACUGGGUCCCAUCACCCCAUUGGGUCUCAUCACCCCACUGGGUCCCAUUGCCAUAUUGGGGUCCCAUUGCCAUGGUGGGGUCCCAUUGCCAUAUUGGGUUCCCAUCCCCCCCCAUAUUGGGCUCCCAGCCCCAUUGAUUUCCUCCAUGUCCCCCCCCGCCCCCUUUUGCCCCCCCAGGCCAAACGAGCUCCAGCCCAGCAGCGCGUUGUGGAGCUGG